Molecule: unclassified non-coding RNA, 200 nt
Filed under: soil metagenome
Description: partial contains internal transcribed spacer 2 and large subunit ribosomal RNA
Source: RNAcentral
CCUGUUCGAGCGUCAUUUAACCACUCACGCCUAGCGUGGUAUUGGGGCACGCGGUCUCGCGGCCCUCAAAAUUAGUGGCGGCGCCGGUGGGCUCUAAGCGUAGUAUAUACUCCCGCUAUAGAGUUCCUCCGGUGGCUCGCCAGAACCCCCAAUUUUUACAGGUUGACCUCGGAUCAGGUAGGGAUACCCGCUGAACUUAA